GUGAAUCAUCGAAUUUUUGAACGCAAAUUGCACUCUCUUCGGAGAGUAUGCCUGUUUGAGGGUCAGUCUAAAAAAAAUCGACGUUGUUGCUUUUUCGUGGUGACAUUCGUUGGCUAUCGUGUCAUCUUAAACCUUGGUGUAUUUUAAUCUGCUUAAAAUUUUCUUUACGUUUUCACUUAUGUUUAUAAGAUUUUACUUCUUACACACGUUUAAUGUUUCGAUCUUUAUUAGAUGUGUCCGUUUCAUCUGAUCGCGUCCAUAAAUAUUUCGUUAACUUCCCUCAUACAGCUAGUAACACCA
Molecule: unclassified non-coding RNA, 300 nt
Filed under: Glomus sp.
Lineage: Eukaryota; Fungi; Glomeromycota; Glomeromycetes; Glomerales; Glomeraceae
Description: partial contains 5.8S ribosomal RNA and internal transcribed spacer 2
Rfam family: 5.8S ribosomal RNA (bases 1-65)
Source: RNAcentral